Molecule: microRNA, 20 nt
Filed under: Spodoptera frugiperda (fall armyworm)
Lineage: Eukaryota; Metazoa; Arthropoda; Insecta; Lepidoptera; Noctuidae
Description: sfr-miR-10470-3p
Source: miRBase by way of RNAcentral
GUGGUCCGCAGCUUCGGAUC